UAAUGACUCACAAGUCCACCCAAAGCCUCAUUUCAUCUUCCACAACAAGCUAGAGAGAGAGAGAGAAGACACAAGCCAUGGCAUUCGGCCAUGGCUAGCAAAAUUGGAGCUCGAAUUUCUUGAUCAAAAAAAUCAGAUUUUCAAAGUAUUCCAACCAGUUAGGAAGGCUAUAAUAACGUGGAUUAGUCAUUUGGAGCAACAAGAACAAGUAUUAUUUCAUUUCACAACUUCUAGCCAAAUUAAGGUUGAAGUGCCAAUCGAGACGAGUUUAAAUUAUUGAAUUGGUACAGACGACAAACGGUACAGACGUUUUUUUCUGGUGACUCGCCCAUGUAGGAUACAUUUUGCUACUUUGGAGUGCUCCUUUGACUCGGAGCCCAUACUUUUGGUAAAGACCUUUCAUUGUAUAUGUCUCUGUAUAUGUAUGUAUGACUAUCUGGGGUACGGCGGGGCCCUGUCCCGUCAUAUGUUCUGUUAUGGUUUGUAGAGGCCUGUAGUCAUAUAUGUGGGUCAUGGGUCAUGUUUGUUCGAUUAUGUUUGUGAUUUGUGCCUUAAGCGGUCCCGUUUGCUAUUAUGGCCAAAACGGCCCAUAUGUUUGUAUAUGUAUGUGUAUCC
Long non-coding RNA from Lycium barbarum (goji berry), 615 nucleotides. RefSeq lists it as uncharacterized. The record is from RefSeq and is a predicted model, not a curated record. NCBI's taxonomy places the organism in Eukaryota, Viridiplantae, Streptophyta, Magnoliopsida, Solanales, Solanaceae. The transcript is spliced from 3 exons.